UAUAAUCUUAUCAUGUUUCUUUGAAUUCAUCAUAUGUGCCGUUUCUUAUGGUGAAAUAAUAUUCUAUUACAUGCGUAUAUCAUAAUUUUCCCACCACUAUUCCCCAGUUGAUGGGUUCCCAUUUUGUUUCUAGGUUUUGCUAUGACAGAUUGCUGCUAUCAAUAUUUUCUUGUAUCAACAAAUGUCUAAUGAUGAUGAUAAUCAUUCCAAAAUGGGGGCACUUCAAUCCUGGAGGGAUGGAUAAAGUCAUUGAUCAUGCAUCUUAUCUCACAACUACCCUGGGAGAGAAUGUCAAAGUCUUGGAGAAUAACAAUGAAAAUGAAGAAUGGGUUGGAAGGCCAUUUUCUGAGAUUGUGCAUCAUAGAAGGCGAGAUUAUGCAUUUGGCACCAAAUUCUUUGGCAGACAGACACAGAAGAAAAUUAAAUACAGAGGAAAUCUCUUUAUCAGCAAGGAAAAGCCAAAACCAACACAAUUUAAACUCUGCGAUCGAAGGGCGGCAAGUGAAAGGUUUGCUAUUGUCAUAUCUCACCUACCUGU
This 538-nucleotide long non-coding RNA is filed under the name Phascolarctos cinereus (koala). Its description in RNAcentral is "lncRNA (ENSPCIG00000034459.1)". Lineage: Eukaryota; Metazoa; Chordata; Mammalia; Diprotodontia; Phascolarctidae. The record is from RNAcentral.